UACGAAGGGGGCUAGCGUUGUUCGGAAUCACUGGGCGUAAAGGGCGCGUAGGCGGCUGUUCAAGUCGGGGGUGAAAUCCCGUGGCUCAACCACGGAAUGGCCUUCGAUACUGGACGGCUCGAGACCGGAAGAGGUGAGUGGAACUGCGAGUGUAGAGGUGAAAUUCGUAGAUAUUAGGAAGAACACCAGUGGCGAAGGCGGCUCACUGGCCCGGUACUGACGCUGAGGCGCGAAAGCGUGGGGAGCAAACAGG
This 253-nucleotide ribosomal RNA is filed under the name uncultured bacterium. Its description in RNAcentral is "partial 16S ribosomal RNA". It matches the Rfam family "Bacterial small subunit ribosomal RNA", at positions 524 to 776 of the family's 1533-position model. The record is from RNAcentral.